CAGAUGAUCUAGAGCCUCGUAGAAGCAAUCGGUUUGGUCUGCCUUUGCACUGACUGGAAGCAAAUUUUCGAUGCCAGCAGGUUUGGCAAGUGCAGAUUCCAGUUACUCAUCCAGUUGCUUCUGGACUUAUUAAGGGACUGCAAAAUACCCAGGUGAUUUUUGGGAACAUCUUAAUAUUGUGUACAUGGUGCAGAGCACAGCGUAAUCUGCAGAAAGCCCUCGGAGAGAAAUA
Molecule: long non-coding RNA, 232 nt
Organism: Cygnus atratus (black swan)
Lineage: Eukaryota; Metazoa; Chordata; Aves; Anseriformes; Anatidae
Exons: 3
Source: RefSeq, a predicted model, not a curated record